RNAcentral lists this ribosomal RNA (235 nucleotides) under Clostridioides difficile. RNAcentral's name for it is "partial 23S ribosomal RNA". It matches the Rfam family "Bacterial large subunit ribosomal RNA", at positions 534 to 768 of the family's 2925-position model. The record is from RNAcentral. Lineage: Bacteria; Bacillati; Bacillota; Clostridia; Peptostreptococcales; Peptostreptococcaceae.
GGGAGUGAAAUAGAACCUGAAACCCUGCACUUACAAGCUGUGGAAGCACAUUUCUUGUGUGACCGCGUACUUUUUGUAGAACGGGCCAACGAGUUACGUUAAGUAGCCAGGUUAAGCACUUAAGGUGCGGAGCCGUAGCGAAAGCGAGUUUUAACUGAGCGUUCAGUUACUUGACGUAGACCCGAAACCGGGCGACCUACCCAUGAGCAGGAUGAAGCGAAAGUAAAAUUUCGUG